Long non-coding RNA from Pseudopipra pipra, 5197 nucleotides. RefSeq lists it as uncharacterized. The record is from RefSeq and is a predicted model, not a curated record. NCBI's taxonomy places the organism in Eukaryota, Metazoa, Chordata, Aves, Passeriformes, Pipridae. The transcript is spliced from 2 exons.
GGUGUGACCAAAGGCUACACAGUAGAGGUAUGAAUUUGUAUCCCCCACAAUGAAAAUGCAGAAAUAGUGAGUUGAAGUAUACCACCUCCAACCCUAUUUUUUUAGUGAUCAAAAACCACAAUGUCACUGUUACUCAGAACAACAUCACCACUUAGACCCUUGCAUGCCCCUUGAUAUUUUCUACUGGAUAACUAAGCUAUCUCUUGCUCAGAUCAAUCAGUCUUACAAACUUCACCCUUUGACUUCUAAGUCUUUUCAUGCUUUAUAGAAUAUAGGCUGGGCACUUACAUCAUGGGAUGCAUUACAGCUGGUAGCAUGCAAAACCUAGAGGAAGAUUUGAGCAACUCCAUUAACUUGUCUGCAAGAAGAUGGACAGAGCUGAAAACUGGCCUGGAAACUGCUCCAACGUGUUGUCCUGAUUCCUUCCUUCUGUCCACCCUAUUUCUCUUCUUGAAGCAAAGCAGUGUCUCAGUGGAAUCACCAACUGAAACCACUUUUUUCCAUCUAAAAACACAUCUUCGCUACCUUUAUUUUAUAUUUAUGUUUAAAUAGACAGCAAGGAGCACCAACCCUGUGUGAGAAAGGAGUGGUGAAAAGAUCCUUGAGUGCCACAAGGUGUACUCAAUUUGUCUUAAAGGAGCUUUUCCAUUGGCACCAUAGUGGGCCAUUGUCAUCUUACUUACUUUGUACGUGCUGUGAUUUCUAACUGUUCCCAAACAAAAAGCUUCCUGUCCUGCAAGAUGCUGAACUCUUCAUUUAGUAAAGCAAAUAGGAGUUAGCAUACCUCAAAGUUUGGUCAUGUCUCAACACUACUUAAUUUUUUUUCAUAUCGAUGACUGGAAAACUUCUAGGUAGUUUGGCAUCUGAAUGGGUAUUUGUAUUUCAAAAAAAUAAAACAAGGAUGAGCAAAAGCUCCAACAAGAGAACUCUUAAAUAAUACCAAUAUGUUAUAGGUGUCCCCUAAUGUUCAGAACAAAUAAGGAAAAUGAUAAUUGGUGAAGAUCAGCAUCAAGAGCUAACAUUAAAUGUAUUAAAAGUAAGUUUAUUGCUACAAUGGGGGUUUUGAGAGACUAUUAAAGAAUAUCAUUCUCAGUUAAGGACCGAAAUGGAUCUCUAUAUGGAGCUGUGUGUAUGGGUUUUACAAUGAAAAUCAGUUAAGUUGUGAAGCAAACUUAUGCACUAGUUUGUUUUUAUUUGCUACCUGAUAUGCUGCUGCAGAAGCCAGAAGGAUCUACUGAAUCAAAACCCCUCUAUGAACCAAUGUGAACUGAAAGAGGAGUUAGAAAGAAAAUAAGGGGCAAAAUGUAUAUUUUCAACUAAAAAUAACUAAAAUUAUUAACAGCUUGAAUUUAAUAUACCUUUUCUUCCCAGAAAUACUUUCCAUUGCACUAAGGGGAGGUUAUAUAAUAAUCACUGUCUAUAAAGCCAUUCUGUGCACAUAUAUUGUGUAUGUGCAUAUAGUGUAUGCAUAUAGUAAACAGAGCACCAUCUACUGACAUAAAAAGAGCAAGAAAUAUUCCUAAAUCAUCUUCAUUGCAGCUCAUAACUGUUUGAGAUUUUAAUUUUGCUACAUCCCACAAUCUGUCUUCGAUUUAGCUAUGUCUUCCAACUCUAAUUCACACUAUAACAUGUAAAAGGUUUGUGAGGCAAAUAAAAAUAUGUUGGGAAGUAAUCAGGCUAAGGACUUGCUCUGCCUAUGUCUCCAGCCAGCACGUCCUGAAUGUGACGGUUUCUGUGAGUAAUCCCAUCAUGUAUAUGGUAAUAAAAAUAUGAAUUAAAACAAAACAACAUUCUUGCAUUGGCAGGGAAUAAAACAUGCAUCUGCAGAGGCCAUAAUCUCUCAUUCAUUUCUUCAGUCUUCAGAAUUUACAUAAAAUCCCAGCUUGGAUGAAUUCAUCUUUCAUAACAGUAGUCUUAACUUUGCUUGCUUGCAGGAAGAAAUUGUAGAAAGUAAUAUAUUACAUGGAUCACUUUAUCUGCCUCUCCUGUUAAGGGGAGUUUAAAGGUUUUAGUAGAUUGAGAGCUGUUGAUUAGGUCCCUCUGUCCUCACUUCCCCCAACAAGAGGAAGUGGCAUAUUUCACAGUUCCUAUUCUUCUGGCUUCCACCAGACACACUGAAGUUGAAAUUUCAAGACUGCUUGUAGCAAUUUUAUUGCUGUCACCCUCCAGAUAUGAGCCACUGUGCCUAAAGUGGCUCAGAUAGCAAAAGUUUGCUGAUAUGACAUAGCACAGCUAUGUGAGAGCAGUAUAAAGCUCUGUGGAUAAAUGUUCCUAUCAGAGAUUUCCCCCCUCACCGAUUUUAUAGAAUUGAAACGCAGCUCCACAGAAAGAAGGUAUGAGUGACAAAGAUGUCUUGGAAAUAGAAAGGAAGUCAAGUCUUCCUUACUUCUCUGUUCUGUAGUAUAUUAAUUUUUUUUUAAAAAUCAUGUAGUUCAGCCACUACUUACUUGGUGUAUGAAUUAGCAAUGCAAAUAGUGAGAGGGAGAAGAAUAUAUACUGAGUAGCUGCAGGAUUUGUGGAAGCGGUCACGCACACACGAUGACAGUGUCUUGGUUUCACCCACAUUACUCCCUCUUCUCAGUUACAGAGCCCCCAACUCUUUGAGGAGCAGCCAUAUGGUUAGGGAGAGGGGAACUGAUGCUGCACAGACAGGAUUUAGGGUUGGUUUUCUUUCUGUGCUUUCAGACAGAGAUCUCCUCGGGGAUAAGCUGGGCUUAGGUGGUUGCAUAAUUUUGCUAUAUUUCUUAAGUGAUUUUUUGCAAGAUCUUUUUCAAAGGCUUGUACGAUUCUACUUUUCAUAGUUUAUAAUCUUAUGUAUUGGGUUCUGUCUUAAUACUCACAUGAAGAUAAGCUAUUUGCAAAAACUUGAUAUUUAACAAAGACAGUGCUUUACAGCACAGUUGUAUUUUAUUUCAAACAAUUAUACUAAUAUUAAGAGGAUACACACAAAUCCUGCCAGAUUCUUUCUGAAAGAAUAGAAAAAAUUCUGAGCCUCCUGAGCAUUCUCCAAAGGCAUUUAAAAUAUAAAAAAAACCACUUGUGGAUGACCCUUCUGAUUUCCUCUCACAAACAGUAUGUUGAGAGCAUCUGAGAUUUAUGCAAUGCAGGAAUUUGGGAAAAGGGAGAAGAGACUGUUCUUAAAGAGCUGCAACUGUGCUAAAAAUUCCUGUUAUUAUACAUUACCAGUAAGCUCAGAAAUAUAUUAGAAGCAUUCUAAUAGCAUCAGCCAUGAUACUAUCAUGUCAAACUGGAUCUCUAAAAAGGAAAGUAUAAGCAAUAAAUGUACUGGAAGGUCAGAGGAAGAAUUUGGCACUAUCAGAAUAGACUGGAUCUAAACAUUUUUUCUGAUGGGGAAAAAUAGCCAUUAGAAAAAUGAUUGUUGCUAUUUAUGAACAUCAGGUUGCUAAGUGACAUCAUGUGAUGCUCACUGCUUCAUCGGCCACCCACAGUUCUCAAGGAAUAGCAACAGAGGGGGUGAAAGGGGUGAAAUAAAACCAAAAGGCUGAGUUACUAUUAAAAAAAAAAAAAAGGGCCUACAGUUCGAGGCAAAGCGAAAUAAGCUUUCUAAAAAUACCUUAUUUUUUUUCUAGGAGAAUCCAAUAGAAUUAUGCUAAGAACUUUUCACAAAAGCAAUAGAUAGGUGAAUCAUUUGAAAGAGAAAGCCUAAGAAGCGAAACCUCACCCCAACCUGAAAUAUAAGUUAGGGACUUACUUUUAUAUAUACAUAUGUAUAUGUAUAGAUGUGUGCACGUAUGAGUUUGUACUAGAUUUUCCAUGAGAGGAAGACUGCAUACAUUAAGGGCCACAUCAUACAUUUUUUAUUGGCUUCUAAUACUGUCAGACUUCAAUAAUUUGGGCUGAAAUGCUUCAUGCUCCUUUAUUUACUCAUUUUUUUAUUAUUUCAGCCAUGUCAUCCCAGCUGCUUCACACAGAUUAGAUUAUAUAAGAAACCAUUUUACUGAAUCCUUAGCACUUCCUGUGCUUUGCAGUCUCUUGAAGUUCAUGAGGGGAACUGAGACAAGGACAAGAUUGAGAAGGAGAGGAGAAAAAGUCUGGAUCAAACAUCCCAUGAAAGCAUGCAUGAGAAACUGAUGAGCAUGGAUGGAGAAACAGAGAAGAUGAAGAAGAGACAAAAAUGGGAAACUCAGAAAUGGAAAUGGAGAAAACUGUGGAGUGAAAGAAUGGCAACCCUGUGGGAAGAACCUAAGUAUAUGACCACAAGCAAAAAUGUCUUUCAAUUGUGGGUGUUCAUAUACAAUUUGUGAAAUUCAAACUUGUUUUUCCUCAUAAUGUCUCUACUAUAGAGAAAAGUUAUGAUUUUUCAAAGAAAUCUUGGGCAAUUAAAGCAGCGACUGAUGCAUGUCCUUGGCUAUCAUAGAUAUGCAAUAUUAUCAAAAGAGAGUGGGAGAAAUAACUAGUUUAUGUAUUGUCCUGUAACAUAAAUUAGCAAAAUACUUUUAUGGCAUGUAGGAAAAUGUACAGAGAGAUCCAGGGAAAGCAUCUCUUAAAUUACCAGUUUACUUUCUAGUUUUGAUAGAUUAUGUUAUGCUAUUUUCAAUUCCAGUUGUUCCCAGUUCUUUUUCUUAGCCUGCGCUGUUGGGUGAUAUGAAAACUACAAAACAACUGUACAGUCAUGAUUCACUGUGGGUAGCAUAGAGAUACAGCUUUAAAAAAGAAAAGCAAAAGCAAAGAGAACUGGCUAUUUCUGUCUAUUUCUGUGUAUCUUGUUUUCUCAUUCUAUUAGCUGGAUGUUGAUGUUUAAAAAGGAGCAAGAGUUUAUGUUCAGAACCUCUGCUCUCAGAUGCAUACUCCCUCAUUUACAGAAAUUAUCAUGUUAACCCAUUUGAAACAAAAGUCGUUUUAAAGCUCAGUCAUAUGGUACAUGACAGUUGAGAGUUGUGAAAGAGACCACCGAGUGUACACAUAUGGUCAACAUAAGCGUAUCAGGCUUUAGGAUGCUCUUCUUUCCACUAACUGCCAUCGACAAUGUUUUUAAUUUCUAAAUUCCCGUCUGUGGGUGUGGGACAAUGCCGGGGUUUGGAAGUUGUUAACUCACUUGUCUACCAUUGGUUUCUGUGUUGCCAUAGUUAUUAUACUGUCUCCUUGCAUUGGCUAGCCAAAUGGCCAAUCCCCUCUUUGGCCCAGCAGCCCUUAUAAGCUGCGGGAAAUUUGAAUAAAGCUCUUCUUCGCUGCUGGA